RNAcentral lists this ribosomal RNA (497 nucleotides) under uncultured bacterium. RNAcentral's name for it is "partial 16S ribosomal RNA". It matches the Rfam family "Bacterial small subunit ribosomal RNA", at positions 28 to 507 of the family's 1533-position model. The record is from RNAcentral.
GAUGAACGCUGGCGGCGUGCCUAAUACAUGCAAGUCGAGCGAACGGACGAGAAGCUUGCUUCUCUGAUGUUAGCGGCGGACGGGUGAGUAACACGUGGAUAACCUACCUAUAAGACUGGGAUAACUUCGGGAAACCGGAGCUAAUACCGGAUAAUAUUUUGAACCGCAUGGUUCAAAAGUGAAAGACGGUCUUGCUGUCACUUAUAGAUGGAUCCGCGCUGCAUUAGCUAGUUGGUAAGGUAACGGCUUACCAAGGCAACGAUGCAUAGCCGACCUGAGAGGGUGAUCGGCCACACUGGAACUGAGACACGGUCCGGACUCCUACGGGGGGCAGCAGUAGGGAAUCUUCCGCAAUGGGCGAAAGCCUGACGGAGCAACGCCGCGUGAGUGAUGAAGGUCUUCGGAUCGUAAAACUCUGUUAUUAGGGAAGAACAUAUGUGUAAGUAACUGUGCACAUCUUGACGGUACCUAAUCAGAAAGCCACGGCUAACUACGUG